Chiroxiphia lanceolata (lance-tailed manakin) is the source of this 3541-nucleotide long non-coding RNA. RefSeq lists it as uncharacterized. The transcript has 3 exons. The record is from RefSeq and is a predicted model, not a curated record. Lineage: Eukaryota; Metazoa; Chordata; Aves; Passeriformes; Pipridae.
GCUCCGCGGGAGUUGUGGGGUGUUCGCGGGCGGCUCUUGAGGGGGACUCCUGGUUCCAUGGGGGGCUGGAGGCGUCCUGUGGUCGUGGAGGGAACCCCGGGCUCCGUGAGGGGCUGGGGGCGUCCUGAGGACAUGGAGGGGCACUCGGAGGUCGGGAGGGGCUGAGGGCGUCCUGAGGACAUGGAGGGGCACUCGGGGGUCGGGAGGAGCUGGGGGCGCCCCUGAGGACGUUGAGGGAGCCCCGGAGGGGCGUGAGGGGCUGGAGGCGUCCUGAGGACAUGGAGGGAACCCGGGGCUUUGUGAGGGGCUGGGGGCGUCCUGAGGACAUGGAGGGGCUUUCGGGGGUUGUGAGGGACUGGAGUCGUCCUGAGGACAUGGGGGGACCCCCGGCGGUCGUAAGCGGCUGGGGUGGGCGCCAUGAGGGGGUAGAAGCGCUGUGAGGGUAUAGAGGAGACUGAGCCGCUCCCUCGGAGUCAUGAGGGCACGGAGGGGGCUUGAGUAGCUGCCAGUAGCUGCUAGGGGUCUGUGAGGGCUGUGCGUGCGUGGUCCACGGGGGAAACGCUGCUCUGGGUUUUCCUGUCAGCCUCGGGCUAUGCAAAUACUGCUUUCCCAGAAGUUCUGGAGUCCCUCGCCCCACAGUCGGUGGGUUGAGGGGUGCGCCUGUUCACUGGAAAACACGAGCUCUGAGUCAGCUGCGUGGGGAAAUCCAGCGCUGCUCAGACCAUCCCGGUGUUUUCUUCCUAAAUGUGCCUCUGACUCCCCGUGGAGUCCGUGCUCGGAGGCUCGGGAUGCAGCCCUUGGUCUCGCUGGUGGUGGUGGGAUCCCGAGCCCCUCUCACUUUGCCUACAGCCGGUGUGAAUAACAGCUUCUCUGACAGGGAUGCUUAGACUUCCAUCACUGUGGUUUUGCCGUGUUUCGAAGGAAAAAGAACAGCAAGAAGUAAAAUUGAACCCUUCAUCCUCUGAUUUGCAUUAAAGUUUAGUUGCUUAAAAGAAUUAUUUGCAGGUAGGUAAUGGUAAAAGGAGCUCUCCUUAUGUGUCUGGUCAUUCAAACCACAGCACAUACUGACUGCUGAAGUGUGGAAAGAACGGAGGAAGAAAAAUGAUGAUGCGUUUUUUUCCUUCAUCUUAUGAAACAAUUUCACGGAAGACAGGAUUUGGGUAAAGAGCUGGGGGCUGUCUCAAGCACUUUGAGGCAAGAGUGGAUUUUGUAACAGGUAUGGAGUUUGAAGGAGAGCUUUUUUAAAGCCUGCUCUUUCUCGACUCUUGCCUUGCAUGUAAUCAUGUUGUGUAGUUACUAGAAGGUGCUCGUAUAAAGUGAUUAGAGAAAUACAAAGUCUGUGUGGGACUGUGGCUACUGAACACAAGUUUGGAUAUAAAAGGCACUCGGAAAAUAUUGGUCAGUAUUUACAUAUUGCAAACUAGUCUUUAGACAACUCCUCUGUCAGAGGAUAGGGGAAUGACCAGCAGGGUAUUUAUCUGACCCUCCUCUCUUCAUCAUUGAUUCAUUUAGAGGAUGCUGGCUGCAGUACAUUAACUUUGGGGUCUAAGCAAGCUGGUCAGGAGGAAGGCCCCCUCAAACAUAGUCAAAUGUCAGACUCACUGUGAGCUCCAGCAUGUUACCAAGCUCUGAGGUAGAAAGUGGGACAGAGUUCUGCCCUCACAUACUCCUCACAGAGCCCUGAAAAAAGUAGCUGAGACUUUACAAGGCAGGGCGUGGGAUUCGGUUUUUAGUAAGGCUUUAGCAGGCGUGUUUUAAGCGCAGUUCUCUCUUGCUUAUUAGAAAUUUAAGACAGUGUUGUUUAACAAGUGCUGAUGCUCGGAUCUUAAGCAGCUCAUUAUUUGUCAGUGUAAUGCAGAAACAGCCUCCCAUCAGUGGGCAUCAUUAAAUUAGAUACAUACUAGUUUUUAUUUGUUAUGUAAAUAAAUUAUUAAAGUAAGGCUGUGGCAUUUGACCUGAGCCUGUACAGCAGUUAAGAUAGCAGGAGUCUGGGUCAUUCAGUAAUAGCGGGAUAGUGUUUCAAAUUAUUCGUUCAGUCACUCAUGAGGAGGUUUGUUUUCCUCCCCAUAACUGGCUUUUGGUUAGUGUUACACGCCUCAAGUAUUUUGCAAAAUAAUAAUUAGUGCUUGAAGAUUAAAGACAUCUGAUCUGUGUUUCAGAUUACUGCUGUCCCUGCUCCCUCAAACAGCAAUAUUUGAGUCCCUACCCUGAAGCUUUGUAUCAUAUCGGUUACUUUAAAAUUGAGGAAACAUCGUGACAUUUUACCACAUAGAUAGCUGUCAAGCUUCCUUUGCACACAGAGUUAAUUAUAUGUCUGGACCUAAGGGAUCACUCCUGUGCUCCUUGGAUUAAUUGCAGUUUUAACAACAGAAAUCAACACCCAUAUGCUUGAUUUAUAGUAUGUUGAGAGUAUUUUUCCUUCUCCUCCCAUUUUUCCCUUAUUGUUUGUCCAUGGUACUUAACUCAGAGGGACACAGGGAACGUGUGUUUUGUCCUAAGAGGCGCCAGGGAAAGGUGUUGGGCAAAUGUGCUGGCAGAGUCCUGCAACAGGCUGCAGAGCUCAUCCGCCUGGACACCUGCCACAGCGGGUUUGAUCCCACAAAAAUCUGAUAAUCCUCCUUUAUCCAGGUAAUCUUAACAGCAGCAUCUUGCCCUUUUGCAGGGCUGAGGGGUGAAGUACAUUACUCUGCUGUGUUGCUGGAAUCCAGGAAGUUGUGGGUUUGUGUUCAGGAGUGCGUGUGAAGCCUGAAACCCAAAGAGCAUCUGCUUUUUACACAAACAUCACUCAAGGUUGGGAGCUGAGACACGGCGACCUUGGCUGCGACACAGGAAUCUCCAAAUGGAGCAGAACUCUCGGCUUUCCUGUCAGACUUCCCUACAAUCUCUGCUGUUAAUCAAACGCUGCAAUAGCACCUCUUUAAAGCUUGAUUUUGGUGAAUUUAUUUAACCUUGUGCACGACAGGAAUUGCGCAGAGCCAAGGAAUGACAUUUACUUGACCCUCAUCUUGGAGGUUUGCCGGAGGAACGUGUCCUUGUCAGUGCAGAGCUGGCUGGGAGCUCUGGGAGCAAGAGAGCAGGGAAAAGCCAGGGGAAGGGGGUGUCUUGUCAGCUGCUCUGCCAGUGCCCUCCCUUUGGAAAUACUGCCGGAGCUUACGUGUUGAAGGACCCUCUACUCAGUAGAGAAUUUGACCAAGCUGGAGAAGCUGCUGGAUGCUGAGGCUCAUGUUGCAGAGAGGCUGAGCAGCACCCUUGUGUCACCACCAUGGGCCAGGCAAGAUUUGUACCUGUCUCGUACAAACAAGUGCUAAAAGUUACCAGGAGCUUGACAGCUGGGCAGUAGCCAUAUGGCCCCUGAACUGGCAUAAGCACGAAUGCAGCUGUGGCAGAGGCUGUGGAGCUUGCUCACAUCAGUGGAAGGUUUGGUCCUUCUGUGCAGUGGUGGUUACUCAAGGAACCAGGCAACCCCUGAGGAACAGCUGACUGUGACAUUCCCUCUGUUCUCCUCCUGGCUGCUUGGAGCAUCCCGAAGCCCAGCAGGUAU